Molecule: non-coding RNA, 120 nt
Organism: Peromyscus maniculatus bairdii (prairie deer mouse)
Lineage: Eukaryota; Metazoa; Chordata; Mammalia; Rodentia; Cricetidae
Source: RefSeq, a predicted model, not a curated record
AUCGUAGUCACACUGCUAGGGGCCCACAAAUAGACCAAAAUGAACAACUAUCAUCAACAUGCAGAGGGCCUAGGUAGGUCCCAUGCAAGCUCCUAAGCUGCUAAUAUUUAUGUUUUCUUA